Molecule: non-coding RNA, 148 nt
Filed under: Chlorocebus sabaeus (green monkey)
Lineage: Eukaryota; Metazoa; Chordata; Mammalia; Primates; Cercopithecidae
Source: Rfam by way of RNAcentral
GCCGGGUGUGGUGGCGGGCGCCUGUAAUCCCAGCUACUGGGGAGGCCGAGGCAGGAGAAUUGCUUGAACCCGGGAGGUGGAGGUUGCAGUGAGCCGAGAUUGUGCCACUGCACUCCAGCCUGGGCAACAAAGCAAGACUCUGUCUAAC